Molecule: transfer RNA, 72 nt
Filed under: Camelus bactrianus (Bactrian camel)
Lineage: Eukaryota; Metazoa; Chordata; Mammalia; Artiodactyla; Camelidae
Also listed under: 2 other names
Rfam family: tRNA
About the family: Transfer RNA (tRNA) molecules are approximately 80 nucleotides in length. Their secondary structure includes four short double-helical elements and three loops (D, anti-codon, and T loops).
Source: Rfam by way of RNAcentral
GAGGGUGUAACUCAGUGGUAGAGUGCAUGCCCAGCAUGGACAAGGUCCUGGGUUCAAUCCCCAGCACCUCUA